Molecule: long non-coding RNA, 696 nt
Organism: Pyrgilauda ruficollis (rufous-necked snowfinch)
Lineage: Eukaryota; Metazoa; Chordata; Aves; Passeriformes; Passeridae
Exons: 2
Source: RefSeq, a predicted model, not a curated record
GCGCAGUGUUGAACCCGCGCAGGCGCCGUUGGGCGGCUCAACGGACGGGAGGCGUGACCGGCGAGCGGUAGGAGGCGUGGCGAAGCGCGGGGCGUGGCCGGGUAUAAAAAGCCGCGCCCGGCGGUGCCGCCGCCAUUCUGAGGGCUGGUGGAGGUUUGGUUGGUCUUGAGAGACGCCGUCGCCUUUACCACGAGAGAAAAAACCAAUACAAACAAUACAAAAUACAAUACAAAACGCGAACAAAACAACAAAAAUAUAUAUAUACAACAAAGAGGGGAAGGAAAAAACCAGGUUUUCUCUCCCCCUUUGCCGUGAAGAGCCGCCGCAGCCUCUCCGUCCUUUGGACCGUCCUUGGAAGCCGUUCCAAACCCGAAGGAAACUGCCACUUUAAAAAACAUAUUUCCCUCUUCUUUCCCCCAAAAAAACAAAGGCAAAACCCACUUUUUUUUUCGAGCAGAAAAAAAAAAAAAAACCCAAACAACUUUUUUUUUUUUUUUCUUUUUUUUUUUUUUUUUUUGGUUUUCAGUUUAGCUCGAUCCACUCCUUUAGGGCUUUAAAAAACAAACAAAACCCAAGGGAAAAAAAAAAAAAACUUUAAAAAAACCCCAAAAUACCCGUCAAGCUGCAAAAAAAAAGUUGCUGCGUUUUUUUUAAAGCCAUGAUUAAAAUCAAACGAAUUUUUUGGCUCUAACACCA